This 484-nucleotide ribosomal RNA is filed under the name uncultured bacterium. RNAcentral describes it as "partial 16S ribosomal RNA". It matches the Rfam family "Bacterial small subunit ribosomal RNA", at positions 30 to 507 of the family's 1533-position model. The record is from RNAcentral.
AUUGAACGCUGGCGGCAGGCCUAACACAUGCAAGUCGAGCGGAGGAAGGGAGCUUGCUUCUGGAUUCAGCGGCGGACGGGUGAGUAAUGCCUAGGAAUCUGCCUGGUAGUGGGGGAUAACGUCCGGAAACGGGCGCUAAUACCGCAUACGUCCUGAGGGAGAAAGUGGGGGAUCUUCGGACCUCACGCUAUCAGAUGAGCCGAGGUCGGAUUAGCUAGUUUGUGGGGUAAAGGCCUACCAAGGCGACGAUCCGUAACUGGUUUGAGAGGAUGAUCAGUCAAAUUGGAACUCGGAGACAGUCCAGGCCCCUGCGGGAAGCAGCAGUGUGGUAUAUUGGGCGAUAGGCGAAAGCCUGAUCCAGCCAUGCCGCGGGUGUGAAGAAGGUCUUCGGAUUGUAAAGCACUUUAAGUUGGGAGGAAGGGCAGUGAGUUAAUACCUUGCUAUUUUGACGUUACCAACAGAAUAAACGCCGGCUAACUUCGUG